GAUGAAGAACGUAGCGAAAUGCGAUAAGUAAUGUGAAUUGCAGAAUUCUGUGAAUCAUCGAAUCUUUGAACGCACAUUGCGCCCCUUGGUAUUCCGAGGGGCAUGCCUGUUCGAGCGUCAUUAUAACCCCUCAAGCUCAGCUUGGUGUUGGGGCCUGCUGCACUGGCAGCCCUUAAAAUCAGUGGCGGCGCCAUCUGGCUCUAAGCGUAGUAAUUCUUCUCGCUAUGGAGUCCUGGUGGAUGCUUGCCAUCAACCCCCAAUUUUUCUAUGGUUGACCUCGGAUCAGGUAGGGAUACCCGCUGAACUUAAGCAUAUCAAUAAGCGGAGGA
Molecule: unclassified non-coding RNA, 329 nt
Filed under: soil metagenome
Description: partial contains 5.8S ribosomal RNA, internal transcribed spacer 2, and large subunit ribosomal RNA
Rfam family: 5.8S ribosomal RNA (bases 1-120)
Source: RNAcentral